Long non-coding RNA from Sapajus apella (tufted capuchin), 4107 nucleotides. RefSeq lists it as uncharacterized. Lineage: Eukaryota; Metazoa; Chordata; Mammalia; Primates; Cebidae. The transcript is spliced from 3 exons. The record is from RefSeq and is a predicted model, not a curated record.
GUUAAUUUAAUUUAUUUGUUUAUUUGUGGGACUGCUAUAAUGAUAUCCACUUAAAUCUAACUAUAACGGAAUUUUGUAUAGUGGUUCUCUGAUUUAAACUUGAAUCUUAUCCUUUUCAGCUGUCAUUUCAUUAAAAUCACCACUUUCUUGAAAUCCUAAUGUUGUCAUGGAAGGCUCUGUAAGGGCUGACCUUGAAGUCUCUGAAAGCUGAAUGCUCGGCAAAAGACUGCGGCUCUUUUGGUAUUCAGGGAGAAGAGAAAACAGGCUCCGUCUAAGAGUUUUUGACCUGGUCUGCCUGGUGUGUGGACAUAUUUCAAUUACCUGGGUUAUUCAAACCAAAAUUCGUUGGUAGUAGAAUAUGGGGAACAAUAGGGUAUUAUGACUGGGGAACAAAGGAUACUACAGGUUUUGACUGGUCACUGAGCAUAUCAUUUUCUUUUUGGGCACAGGCUCUUAUUUCCUAAUAAAAUCGGAGAAUGAGUUCCUGUCUUCACUUCUAAAUUAACCCUCUUAAUUGCCAUUGUUUACCCACAGGGACCAUCAUGGUAGAUGGCAUGAGAGGGUGUCCUUGCUCCAAUGGUGGGCUGGUAAGGAAACAAGAGCAAGGCAGAAGCAAACCAUAACUCUUCUAGGAUUUAUUCUUAUUUUGCUUUGGUCUAUUUAUAUAAAUAUCUGAAUCAGUGAGAACCAGCCGCUUCGAAUACAUGUAUGCAUCUUUGGAUUUGCUGACGGAUAAAACAUUGCAUUGGGCUGUCUUCUGUCAAGUUCUCUCUGUCCUUAUGGUGUACAUAAAGGUGUACAUAUUUAUGGGGUUCAUGAAAUGUUUUGAUACAGGCACGUAAUGUGAAAUAAUCACAUCCUAGUGAGUGUGGUAUCCGUCCAUCCCCUCAAGAAUUUAUCCUUUGAGUUAUAAACAAUUCAUUUAUACUCUUUUAGCUCUUUUAAAAUGUACAAUUAAGUUACUGACUAUAGUCAUCUUGUUGUGCUGUCAAAUAGUAGGUCUUAUUCUUUCGAUUUUUUUUGUACCUAUUAACCACCUCCACUUCUUUCUUAAUUUGGAACAGUUCCUUGAAGCUACAGAAAUAUUGUCUAGCAUGAUUAGGGAAGCACAGGAGGUAAAAAUACAUUGUCCAGGGAUCAGUUAUUGUCUUGUACAAGGUCUAGAAUCUAACAGGUUGCAAUCCGAGUGCAGAACUUUUGACUGUACUUGCCUAUGAAGCUCCCACUUCCCCCUAAGACUCUUCCUUCCUGAUACUCAUCAUUCAUUUUGCGGACACUGCAGGAGGGGUCUGCAGUCCCAUUGGAGCUCUUGGCAAAUUGUAAUGCUCAGGACGGCACAGAUGUCACGCAAGGUCUUAGGGAGACCAGCCUUUCCCAUUCAAGUGCCCACAGCUCUUUCCCCAGCGGUCACCUUCCUCAGAAAUGGCCUUUAACACCGCCACCUCACCCCAUCCCCCUCCACUCUUGGGGAAGCAUAAGUCUAGGUGAGUGCCGAAGAUUUUCUUUCUGAAGUUUUGAAAUAACAUUGUACUGCAAAUCCAGGCAAUCAAAAACUCACAAAUCACUUUCACUCUGCAGCAGUGGUAUCAGGCCUGAAGAAAGGAGGCUGAAGAUAGGCACAUGGCUUUGCUAAGUUAGCUUUUAUAUCCUGAGUGGCUGCCUUAGAAAGUGUCCUUGCCCAGCUUUCUGAACCUGAAGAACUUUGUAGAUUGAAAACUGUAGCUUGUGGACCCCUCUCUGUGGAGAUCAGCAUCUCAGUAUCCAGGGGGAAGUCAUCUCUUCACCCAAAGCUUCUGCUAGCACAUCAAGAGGCCCGGAACCCCGCAGUCCUGAAUGCUAACCAGUAGAGACAAGGGAGGAAUUCAUUUCUGUUUGUGUUCAACGUAGACUGAGCAGGAAGGGCCAGGUGUUUUACGGCUCUUUGGAGUUAGCAGCUUGAUGGCUGUGAUUUGGUAAAAACGAUUGGAAAUGCCUUCAGCACGGUGAUCAUUACAUGCAAGUGUUGUGAAGCGUUAGGAAAGGGAAUUUUUUUUUUUUUUUUUUUAGGUGAGGGAAUUUCCCAUUGAGGAAGACCCCUGCUUCGUUUUUAGACUCAGCCUAUCAGUCAACUGAUUUGGCUGUGCAUGUAAAUACUUGAGUAUAAAAUGCUGCCCCCUGCUACCUGCAGGCUGUCAUGUUGCUCAUCAAAGGCAGGAUCCUUCUAAUGAGGGAUUAGCUGGAUGCCUAAAUGCGGGACCACCUACUCUGUUCACUGUCUUAAUUAGCUAGAUGUUUGUUAGAGCUCAUGCAAAUUAUUUUCUGUAAGCAGACAGAUUUAGUGUCAUAUCUAAGGAGUGACAUCCAGGGUUUUGUCAGACAUCCAUUAAAAUUCUUUUUUUUUUUUUUUAAAUAUUUGAGAUGGGGUCUCACGAUGUUGCCCGGGGGUUGUUCUUGAACUCCUGGGCUCAAGGAAUCCUCCCACCUCAGCCUCCCAAAGUACCGAGAUUACUGGUGUGAGCCACCGUGCCCAGAUGCUGUUAACAAGUAUGAACAGAUUCGAUAUUUUCAGUCUAAUCUUCAGUGGUAAUGAUAAUAAAACUUCUUAACUUUCAUUCCUAAUCCAGUAGUGGCUAAAACUUGAUUUUAAAAGUUUUUUCCAGAAUUUGGUCCAGAUGAAAAGUUUCUUUCACCUUGUGAACAUUUAGAACGCUGGGCUGCAUCAUAUGUUGUGACUUCAAAGCUAGAAUAACCUCACUUCGUUUCAGUUUUUGAGCCAAAAGGACCCAUUAACAGAAAUAAAACUUUUCUUCUUGUGAACAUAUACAAGCUGGCCACAUUGGUAAAUACCAGUGAAAUGUAUUUUGGGACUGACACUUGAAUUUUCUAUUGGUAUUUAUGUCACAAAAUCACCUCUCUAAGGUUUAUUACCUGGAGAUACACACACACACACACACACACACACACACACUUACUUUUAUAUCAAAAUGUAUAUAUUUUGAGGUAUAAAAAGUACGUGCUCAAGGUAUCAGUCACUCCUAAAUUUGUUUUCCUUGAAACAAAACGAAGGUAUCAAAUUUCAUGCAGGGAACCCCAAAGUGUUAUCAUGGCGUGAUGUUGAAAUUGAUGGUCUUAGCUUAGAGAGCCUACUUUUUAAAACUUGGGGUCCUGUUUCUAAAUCAUGUGUUGAAAUUACAGUGUGAACUGGACUUGCCAUACUCUUUGAUCCUGCAAAUCAUCACUGUGAUGACCUCCUAUCUGCUGCAAGUUCGACCCGUUCUACACUAAUACAAGAACAUUACUUUUUCUUCAUGUAGAGAAGGGUGUUCAUUCCUAAGACUUUAAAUCCACACUUCCCAUUUAUGGAGUACACCGGCUUCCUUUACUCCUUUGGUUCUUUGUUUUCUUUUUCGUACCUAGAUGUUACUAAAUUUUGCCUUUGAGCCUAAACCAUGCUGUUGAUGUUUUUUUUUUUUUUUUUUCCCCACUUAUUCCGAAAGGUCCCAUAAAUCUGAGGCCAUAGCUGACUUAGAUUUAGUCAUUUUCUUGGGUAAAACAUACUCAUAUGAAAUCAUUACACUUAGGAUCUUGAAAUGCAUGAUUAGUUUCCUUUCUGAUUGUUGACAAGACGAACUAGUGGGAUCUUGGCAUUUAUCUUUUUAAGAGCCUGGUGCUCAUUAAGAAAAGGAAAAUAUUCUGAAAUAAUCGAAAUAACCUUUUGGGCAUUGAAACUCCAUUUUGAAUUAAAAACAUUUGUGUCUGCUAUUCUCUUAUGCUAAAUUAUAUCCAGGUAUUAUAAGUAAAAUUAUUUGGAAGUUACUUUGUUCUAAGAAACUAUGGAGAUUAUUGACAAUAUUAGAAAGAGUCCUUAGCUGAUAAUUAUAUAAAAAUUGAGAAUUAGCACCUUAUGACUUAACCAUUUUACAUUGAAAUGUUAUUGGACAUUGAAUGUACAUGGAAAUCACAUGGUCAAAGUAUUUGAGAAACAAGUAUCUCAAGGAAGAUACCAGUUUAAAACAUUCAAAUGAGCUUCAUCUCAUAAUUUGGUAAUCUCAUGUAAAGUACUUUGGAUAGGGGUGUGUAUCUGUAUACAUACAUUUUAAAAAUAGAUCUGUAAUCACAUAUACAGUA